GGGCUUGAAGCUUUGGCAGCGAAGCAACCGCCUCUUAAGCGGAAGAGCAGGGUGCAUGUCCCUGCGAGCCCA
This 72-nucleotide transfer RNA is filed under the name Roseimicrobium gellanilyticum. RNAcentral describes it as "tRNA-Lys". It matches the Rfam family "tRNA". Rfam says of the family: Transfer RNA (tRNA) molecules are approximately 80 nucleotides in length. Their secondary structure includes four short double-helical elements and three loops (D, anti-codon, and T loops). Further hydrogen bonds mediate the characteristic L-shaped molecular structure. tRNAs have two regions of fundamental functional importance: the anti-codon, which is responsible for specific mRNA codon recognition, and the 3' end, to which the tRNAs corresponding amino acid is attached (by aminoacyl-tRNA synthetases). tRNAs cope with the degeneracy of the genetic code in two manners: having more than one tRNA (with a specific anti-codon) for a particular amino acid; and 'wobble' base-pairing, i.e. permitting non-standard base-pairing at the 3rd anti-codon position. Lineage: Bacteria; Pseudomonadati; Verrucomicrobiota; Verrucomicrobiia; Verrucomicrobiales; Verrucomicrobiaceae. The record is from RNAcentral.